UCUGAAAGCUGUAGCUUCCCCCGGCAUCCCCAAGCCGUUGCAGUAGUGGCGUGUUGGGGUUCAUCGGCGAACAUCCCCCAACGGCGCUCAUGCUCGAAGGGGGCUUGCCAUGUUCAACCCCAUCUCCGGCGAUUGGCUCCUCGCCCACAUCAGCCGCGUGGUCCUCGACGACGACGCCCUCGCGCUCCUCCUCCUCCUCCGCCUCGACAAGACUCUCUCCAGCCUCUCGCUCCACCUCCUCGCACACUCCUGCAGCAAAUGAAAAAUUCUCAGGCGUCAACAGCAUGCCAGAAAGAUUGAGGCUGUCUUUUAUAUGUGUGGGCAUGCAGUUGCUACUUUGAGGUGGCAGUUUUCUGCUAUAAAUUGCAGCUGAAGCAUGGAAUGUCUUACCAGUGGAUGGUAACGUUGUGAGAUGCAUGGUUGACGACCUUGACAAGAACAUUAUCGCCUUCCCUUGCAUAGAGGGUCGGCCCCGGGAACUUGCCAUUAACAGUGAGGAUGGACUUGGUUGAGCAAAGCCGUGUCAUGUUCCUCAUAACCACCUGCACGAGUGAAACCAUGGUAAACCAUCACGGCAGCCUGAGUUCUGUAGCCGCCUCAUGGUGUAAGGGUGGCCGUUUUGUCUUUUUUUAUUGGCGCUGGGCCAGAUUGGUUUUCACAGUAUUAUGUUGCAUCAGAAAGGAAAAUGACAUUUCGAAAUUAUGGCAAAGAAAGCAUUGUACUCCAUAUCGGGUUGUGUAAAGAGUGGUGCAAUGCUAUACGACCCUGGCUACAUGCAGAAAAGAGUCAUUAGCUAUUUAUUGCUCCUCCGUGUCGGGUGAUGGCAUGGACGCUGAGAGCCUGAAGCAGGAAGCAGCUGGCCAUGAGGGGGAGGAGCAGCUGAUCAAGACGGCGAGGCAUGGCCAUGCUGCCUGGCACUGGCAGAGCUACCUGAUCGGAGGAGACAAGGACGAACGACGAUGCCUGUGAGUCGAGACAGUGCAGUAUGCCUGGUUGCAUGGAAUGACAGGCCGGGCGACGCAUGGUUUUAAUGGCCCAGGGAGGGGGCUGGGGCGGUGUUGGGUUUCUAGCUGCCAUGUCGUUUUUCAUUUUAGGUGAG
This is a long non-coding RNA of Triticum aestivum (bread wheat), 1099 nucleotides long. RefSeq lists it as uncharacterized. The transcript is spliced from 3 exons. Lineage: Eukaryota; Viridiplantae; Streptophyta; Magnoliopsida; Poales; Poaceae. The record is from RefSeq and is a predicted model, not a curated record.